Molecule: ribosomal RNA, 497 nt
Filed under: uncultured bacterium
Lineage: Bacteria
Description: partial 16S ribosomal RNA
Rfam family: Bacterial small subunit ribosomal RNA
Source: RNAcentral
GAUGAACGCUGGCGGCGUGCCUAAUACAUGCAAGUCGAGCGAACAGACGAGGAGCUUGCUCCUCUGACGUUAGCGGCGGACGGGUGAGUAACACGUGGAUAACCUACCUAUAAGACUGGGAUAACUUCGGGAAACCGUAGCUAAUACCGGAUAACAUUGUGAACCGCAUGGUUCAACAGUGAAAGACGGUCUUGCUGUCACUUAUAGAUGGGUCCGCGCCGCAUUAGCUAGUUGGUAAGGUAAAGGCUUACCAAGGCAACGAUGCGUAGCCGACCUGAGAGGGUGAUCGGCCACACUGGAACUGAGACACGGCCCAGACUCCUACGGGAGGCAGCAGUAGGGAAUCUUCCGCAAUGGGCGAAAGCCUGACGGAGCAACGCCGCGUGAGUGAAGAAGGUCUUCGGAUCGUAAAACGCUGUUAUUAGGGAAGAAAAAAUGUGUACGUAACUAUGCACGUCUUGACGGUACCUAAUCAGAAAGCCACGGCUAACUACGUG